ACUGUAAUGCACAUGUUUUUUUAUUUUGUUUUGUUUUAUACAGGUCACUGAAACCGUGGCAGACAUAGAGGGGCAGGAGAGAUUGCCUGACACACCCAGACUCAUUAUGGUUGGACCCUCGCUCAUGACAGCAAAAAGAUGGAUGGUGUCCAUUGAAGGAAGAGUUGCUAUUACAUUCACUGGAUCAGACAGUUUUCCUGCUGCUUUCGCCACUCUUUUUGCAUCGUAUUACGUCUUAAACAUGGAAUACCAAGAGUCAGCUGCAUGCACUUUGGAGCUUGUUCAGAGAUUUCUGGUGAGAAUUAAUCCGGAAGAUGGAAAGAAAUGCACAGCCCGACAGGGAGUGAGCAAGAAGACCGGACGAAUUGUCCAGAAAAAAGCACCACCCAUCAACUCCCACGUUAAUAACUUCUUCAUUUGCUCCUUGCUGGACUUAAAAUGGCAGACCUCUAACUAAGCAGUUACAUCUAACAGGUUUUGUGUGUGUGUGUGUG
Long non-coding RNA from Alosa sapidissima (American shad), 494 nucleotides. RefSeq lists it as uncharacterized. The transcript is spliced from 3 exons. The record is from RefSeq and is a predicted model, not a curated record. Lineage: Eukaryota; Metazoa; Chordata; Actinopteri; Clupeiformes; Clupeidae.